UUCCCCUAGUAACUGCGAGUGAAGCGGGAAAAGCUCAAAUUUAAAAUCUGAGGGUCUUACGGCCUUCCGAGUUGUAAUCUAGAGAAGUGCUAUCCGCGCUGGACCGUGUACAAGUCUCCUGGAACGGAGCGUCAUAGAGGGUGAGAAUCCCGUCUUUGACACGGACUACCAGGGCUUUUGUGAUGCGCUCUCAAAGAGUCGAGUUGUUUGGGAAUGCAGCUCUAAAUGGGUGGUAAAUUCCAUCUAAAGCUAAAUAUUGGCGAGAGACCGAUAGCGAACAAGUACCGUGAGGGAAAGAUGAAAAGAACUUUGGAAAGAGAGUUAAACAGUACGUGAAAUUGUUGAAAGGGAAACGCUUGAAGUCAGUCGCGUUGGCCAGGAAUCAACCUUGCUUUUGCUUGGCGUACUUUCUGGUUAAUGGGUCAGCAUCAAUUUUGACCGGUGGAUAAAGAUCAGGGGAAUGUGGCAUCUUCGGAUGUGUUAUAGCCUCUGGUCGCAUACAUCGGUUGGGAUUGAGGAACUCAGCACGCCGCAAGGCCGGGUUUUUACCACGUACGUGCUUAGGAUGCUGGCAUAAUGGCUUUAAUCGACCCGUCUUGAAACACGGACCAAGGAGUCUAACAUGCACGCGAGUGUUUGGGUGGAAAACCCGAGCGCGUAAUGAAAGUGAAAAUUGAGAUCCCUGUCGUGGGGAGCAUCGAUGCCUGGACUUGAUCUUUUGUGACGGUUCCACGGUUGAGCGUGUAUGCUGGGACCCGAAAGAUGGUGAACUAUGCCUGAAUAGGGUGAAGCCAGAGGAAACUCUGGUGGAGGCUCGUAGCGAUUCUGACGUGCAAAUCGAUCGUCAAAUUUGGGUAUAGGGGCGAAAGACU
This 872-nucleotide ribosomal RNA is filed under the name Tricholoma aurantium. RNAcentral describes it as "eukaryotic LSU rRNA". It matches the Rfam family "Eukaryotic large subunit ribosomal RNA", at positions 75 to 932 of the family's 3401-position model. The record is from RNAcentral. Lineage: Eukaryota; Fungi; Basidiomycota; Agaricomycetes; Agaricales; Tricholomataceae.